CCUCCUCAAUUUUCCCCAAAUAUUCCUCUCCUUACGCGCGAUACACAGGCCAUCCAUAUUGUUCCCUAAUUCUCAUUUUGAGCUCUGCCUUCACCGUUAACGCCCUUCAAUCAGUCUUCACCGUUAAUCAUUUUUAGCUCUGCUUUCACGAAUCAUUCAUCUUUACAUUUAAUUUCGCCCAGCUUUGUUCACAAAUUCACAUUUUUUUCCCAAUUCACGAUUCGCCCAGCUUUGUUCACCAGUAGAUCAGGCAAAGGAAGGUGCUGGCGGUAGCGGUGGUGGUGGCUGAUUGCUCGACUCUUGCAUGUCACAAAUUUCCUCGGAUCUUUUAAGGUGGAAAGAUAAGCCUGAUACAAUUUCAAAUCUUCAGUUUAGAGAUCUUUUGCUAUAUUGGAAUACCGAUGAGGCUAAGAAAAUCAGUCACAACAACAAAGACAAUCGUCUAAUGUUAGAUGAUAUGCACACUUUGGGUCGUAAGUCAUUUGCCAUUUUACGCCAUGAAUUGCGGCAAUAAGAUCCAGAUAAUAAGCAAGAGCCUUCCCAAGCAAAGGUUUAUAAGGAAUCGAGAAAAAGAAGUUCUGGAAGGACAUACAAAACUAGCCGUGGAAAAGCAAAGGAGAACAUUAGGCCAAAAUGGAUGGUGCGGAGUCUUCCCAACAUGAAGAUGGUAAUAACUGCAACGACCCUUACUACGAAGUGAUUCCUACUGCUAAACGCAAAAGUCGUGUGCAUUUGUAUGGAUCGGGUGUGAAAAAGACAGAUUUGAAGAAGAAAGUGAAUAAGCCCGAUUUCAUAUUCCCAGAGGAAUUCAUAUAUAUCAAGUGUUACCACUGCAGUUGAGGCUAACCCUGGGAUUAAUAUUGUGAUUCCUGAUGUUCUGCUGCAAUCGACUCCGAAUGGUGCAUCCAGUGCACCAAAUCAAAUCAGUAACCAUAGUGGCCAAUCUUCCAAAUCGGCUGCACAUCUUUGGAAAUUUUUUCAACUGCACAUCUUUGGAACAACUUUCACUCAUUUAUAAUAAUCUUACUGGAAAAAUAUCAUCUAAGAUAGGAAAUUUAGCUUACCCUCCAAAUUUUCUUUGCUUAUUCCAACAAAUUAGAAGGUUCGAUACCUGAAACUAUUGGGAAGUUAAAAGCAUUGACUGCAUUAGACCUUAGUGGAAAUCAGUUAUCUGGAAUGAUUCCUCCCAGCAUAGGAAACUUGAUAAACAUACAAACCCUACAUCUCAUGGAGAAUAAACUUACAGGAAAUAUACCACCUGAAAUAGGCCGCUGCAGAAGUCUAACUAAUCUGUUUUUGUAAAGCAACAAAAUAGAAGGCAGCAUCCCUCUAGAGUUGGGUAAUUUACGUAACCUGCAAGACCUAGUUGAUUGUUUGCUUCAAGUUAUAGUUGUAUAAAAUUUGUGUUCAGAAAUCUGAUACUUAAUUUCUAACUCUAACAUGUUUUUCUUUGCAUGUACCAUUAGAGUGAUAGAACAUCAUACUAUUAGAGCUGUAUUCUUGUUUGGCUUAAGUGUCAGAUUGUGCUAAGUUUCAUAAUCAUUCUUGAUUAAGUAUUUAUUUUUUCUCUAUUGUCAUC
Long non-coding RNA from Amaranthus tricolor (Joseph's coat), 1579 nucleotides. RefSeq lists it as uncharacterized. The transcript has 5 exons. The record is from RefSeq and is a predicted model, not a curated record. Lineage: Eukaryota; Viridiplantae; Streptophyta; Magnoliopsida; Caryophyllales; Amaranthaceae.